UACAUGUGGGGCAAGCGUUGUUCGGAAUCACUGGGCUUAAAGCGUGUGUAGGCGGGUCGUUAAGUACCUUGUGAAAUCCCACGGCUCAACCGUGGAACUGCUUGGUAUACUGGCGAUCUUGAGCCACUUAGGGGUUACCGGAACAAACGGUGGAGCGGUGAAAUGCGUAGAUAUCGUUUGGAACGCCAAUGGUGAAAACAGGUAACUGGGAGUGCGCUGACGCUGAGACACGAAAGCCAGGGGAGCGAACGGG
RNAcentral lists this ribosomal RNA (253 nucleotides) under uncultured bacterium. RNAcentral describes it as "partial 16S ribosomal RNA". It matches the Rfam family "Bacterial small subunit ribosomal RNA", at positions 524 to 776 of the family's 1533-position model. The record is from RNAcentral.